RNAcentral lists this ribosomal RNA (2932 nucleotides) under Escherichia coli. RNAcentral describes it as "23S ribosomal RNA". It matches the Rfam family "Bacterial large subunit ribosomal RNA". The record is from RNAcentral. Lineage: Bacteria; Pseudomonadati; Pseudomonadota; Gammaproteobacteria; Enterobacterales; Enterobacteriaceae.
GGGUUGUGAGGUUAAGCGACUAAGCGUACACGGUGGAUGCCCUGGCAGUCAGAGGCGAUGAAGGACGUGCUAAUCUGCGAUAAGCGUCGGUAAGGUGAUAUGAACCGUUAUAACCGGCGAUUUCCGAAUGGGGAAACCCAGUGUGUUUCGACACACUAUCAUUAACUGAAUCCAUAGGUUAAUGAGGCGAACCGGGGGAACUGAAACAUCUAAGUACCCCGAGGAAAAGAAAUCAACCGAGAUUCCCCCAGUAGCGGCGAGCGAACGGGGAGGAGCCCAGAGCCUGAAUCAGUGUGUGUGUUAGUGGAAGCGUCUGGAAAGGCGCGCGAUACAGGGUGACAGCCCCGUACACAAAAAUGCACAUGCUGUGAGCUCGAUGAGUAGGGCGGGACACGUGGUAUCCUGUCUGAAUAUGGGGGGACCAUCCUCCAAGGCUAAAUACUCCUGACUGACCGAUAGUGAACCAGUACCGUGAGGGAAAGGCGAAAAGAACCCCGGCGAGGGGAGUGAAAAAGAACCUGAAACCGUGUACGUACAAGCAGUGGGAGCACAGAGCAAUCUGUGUGACUGCGUACCUUUUGUAUAAUGGGUCAGCGACUUAUAUUCUGUAGCAAGGUUAACCGAAUAGGGGAGCCGAAGGGAAACCGAGUCUUAACUGGGCGUUAAGUUGCAGGGUAUAGACCCGAAACCCGGUGAUCUAGCCAUGGGCAGGUUGAAGGUUGGGUAACACUAACUGGAGGACCGAACCGACUAAUGUUGAAAAAUUAGCGGAUGACUUGUGGCUGGGGGUGAAAGGCCAAUCAAACCGGGAGAUAGCUGGUUCUCCCCGAAAGCUAUUUAGGUAGCGCCUCGUGAAUUCAUCUCCGGGGGUAGAGCACUGUUUCGGCAAGGGGGUCAUCCCGACUUACCAACCCGAUGCAAACUGCGAAUACCGGAGAAUGUUAUCACGGGAGACACACGGCGGGUGCUAACGUCCGUCGUGAAGAGGGAAACAACCCAGACCGCCAGCUAAGGUCCCAAAGUCAUGGUUAAGUGGGAAACGAUGUGGGAAGGCCCAGACAGCCAGGAUGUUGGCUUAGAAGCAGCCAUCAUUUAAAGAAAGCGUAAUAGCUCACUGGUCGAGUCGGCCUGCGCGGAAGAUGUAACGGGGCUAAACCAUGCACCGAAGCUGCGGCAGCGACGCUUAUGCGUUGUUGGGUAGGGGAGCGUUCUGUAAGCCUGCGAAGGUGUGCUGUGAGGCAUGCUGGAGGUAUCAGAAGUGCGAAUGCUGACAUAAGUAACGAUAAAGCGGGUGAAAAGCCCGCUCGCCGGAAGACCAAGGGUUCCUGUCCAACGUUAAUCGGGGCAGGGUGAGUCGACCCCUAAGGCGAGGCCGAAAGGCGUAGUCGAUGGGAAACAGGUUAAUAUUCCUGUACUUGGUGUUACUGCGAAGGGGGGACGGAGAAGGCUAUGUUGGCCGGGCGACGGUUGUCCCGGUUUAAGCGUGUAGGCUGGUUUUCCAGGCAAAUCCGGAAAAUCAAGGCUGAGGCGUGAUGACGAGGCACUACGGUGCUGAAGCAACAAAUGCCCUGCUUCCAGGAAAAGCCUCUAAGCAUCAGGUAACAUCAAAUCGUACCCCAAACCGACACAGGUGGUCAGGUAGAGAAUACCAAGGCGCUUGAGAGAACUCGGGUGAAGGAACUAGGCAAAAUGGUGCCGUAACUUCGGGAGAAGGCACGCUGAUAUGUAGGUGAAGUCCCUCGCGGAUGGAGCUGAAAUCAGUCGAAGAUACCAGCUGGCUGCAACUGUUUAUUAAAAACACAGCACUGUGCAAACACGAAAGUGGACGUAUACGGUGUGACGCCUGCCCGGUGCCGGAAGGUUAAUUGAUGGGGUCAGCGCAAGCGAAGCUCUUGAUCGAAGCCCCGGUAAACGGCGGCCGUAACUAUAACGGUCCUAAGGUAGCGAAAUUCCUUGUCGGGUAAGUUCCGACCUGCACGAAUGGCGUAAUGAUGGCCAGGCUGUCUCCACCCGAGACUCAGUGAAAUUGAACUCGCUGUGAAGAUGCAGUGUACCCGCGGCAAGACGGAAAGACCCCGUGAACCUUUACUAUAGCUUGACACUGAACAUUGAGCCUUGAUGUGUAGGAUAGGUGGGAGGCUUUGAAGUGUGGACGCCAGUCUGCAUGGAGCCGACCUUGAAAUACCACCCUUUAAUGUUUGAUGUUCUAACGUUGACCCGUGAUCCGGGUUGCGGACAGUGUCUGGUGGGUAGUUUGACUGGGGCGGUCUCCUCCUAAAGAGUAACGGAGGAGCACGAAGGUUGGCUAAUCCUGGUCGGACAUCAGGAGGUUAGUGCAAUGGCAUAAGCCAGCUUGACUGCGAGCGUGACGGCGCGAGCAGGUGCGAAAGCAGGUCAUAGUGAUCCGGUGGUUCUGAAUGGAAGGGCCAUCGCUCAACGGAUAAAAGGUACUCCGGGGAUAACAGGCUGAUACCGCCCAAGAGUUCAUAUCGACGGCGGUGUUUGGCACCUCGAUGUCGGCUCAUCACAUCCUGGGGCUGAAGUAGGUCCCAAGGGUAUGGCUGUUCGCCAUUUAAAGUGGUACGCGAGCUGGGUUUAGAACGUCGUGAGACAGUUCGGUCCCUAUCUGCCGUGGGCGCUGGAGAACUGAGGGGGGCUGCUCCUAGUACGAGAGGACCGGAGUGGACGCAUCACUGGUGUUCGGGUUGUCAUGCCAAUGGCACUGCCCGGUAGCUAAAUGCGGAAGAGAUAAGUGCUGAAAGCAUCUAAGCACGAAACUUGCCCCGAGAUGAGUUCUCCCUGACUCCUUGAGAGUCCUGAAGGAACGUUGAAGACGACGACGUUGAUAGGCCGGGUGUGUAAGCGCAGCGAUGCGUUGAGCUAACCGGUACUAAUGAACCGUGAGGCUUAACCUUACAACGCCGAAGCUGUU